GUGUCAGCAGCCGCGGUAAUACGUAGGGUGCAAGCGUUGUCCGGAAUUAUUGGGCGUAAAGAGCUCGUAGGCGGUUUGUCACGUCGGAUGUGAAAACCCGAGGCUUAACCUCGGGCCUGCAUUCGAUACGGGCUGACUAGAGUUCGGUAGGGGAGACUGGAAUUCCUGGUGUAGCGGUGAAAUGCGCAGAUAUCAGGAGGAACACCGGUGGCGAAGGCGGGUCUCUGGGCCGAUACUGACGCUGAGGAGCGAAAGCGUGGGGAGCGAACAGGAUUAGAUACCCUCGUAGUCC
This 292-nucleotide ribosomal RNA is filed under the name uncultured bacterium. RNAcentral's name for it is "partial 16S ribosomal RNA". It matches the Rfam family "Bacterial small subunit ribosomal RNA", at positions 505 to 796 of the family's 1533-position model. The record is from RNAcentral.